GUUUAAAAAUGGCCGUCGAGAUGUUGUAAGAGAGUGUUAGCGCGCACUGCUUCCUGAUAAAAACCCAAUGAUUUCCAAAACCUAAAUUAUAAUUUGUUAUUAAGUUAUGAUGAAAACCUUUGCGUAGACAAAAUUAUAGAGUGAUCAAAUAUGAGACACAAAGUUCGAUGUCGAAUUGACAGUUGAAAUAGUACCAAACUCCAAGCUGAAAUGUGCAACUUUAUCGUGUAUAUUUUUGUCAAUUUUGUUUACUGGCCUUUGUUAAAUUCACUUGCAAUGGCUCGACAUAAGUUACAACAUACAAACUGAGCAGAGCCCAUGAAAAAGCAAUCCAUACCCCUACAGUCAUUCAGCUUCCUUGCUAUUUAGAAGUGCAUGGUUGCCCAUUAGUCGAAGAAUUGCUAUUGUAUGCGCUUGUUUGCACUUCCUUUCCUAAAAAAAGUCUACAAUAUUAAGGCUAAAUAGCAGAAAAAUAUGACCCAAUAAUCCAUGCAAUUAAAAAUAUCUAUCAAAUUAACUUCAAAAAUCAUGACCAUAUAUCUUAAUAUCUAUUCAGGCAACCCAUAAUUUAGUGACAGGUCUUGGCAAGGUGAAAGCUGAAAGGAACCCUUAAGAUGGGUGUACUACAAAACUAUAUUGACUGAAGUUUUGGAAACAUUUAACUAAAUUUUGAAGGAUUGACUUGCAAACUGUGAUUCAGUAUCAUGGAAUUUUACACUUCUGGAGAAGUUGUGGCUCUGUUAGUGCCAUUUCUUUCAUUGUUUAUAUAUCUUGCUUUUAAACAUUGCUCGCUUAUAAAAUCUUUCAAUUCCUUAGGGCCUGUUUAUAUGAUCCCGCCUAGAUGGGACGGGACGUUUUCAUCCCGCCAAGACAGGAUACUCGCCUAGUGUUUAUAUGGACAAAAUACAUUGCCGGGAUGAAACCAUUCGGUGCUUGACGUCAUAUUUUUGUUGCAAUAAAGGCAUUUACGCAUGCCCAAAAGGGAAAAAUUCAUUCCGCCUAACCGGGAUGAAGUGUUUAUAUGGGAAUUUUUCAUCCCGGCUAGGCGGGAUAAAGUGUUUUUAUAUGGGAAUUUUUCAUCUCGCUUAGGCAGGAUCCCGGCAUCUGUUGCCGAAAUCCAGUCUAGGCGGGAUAAGUGGCAGGAUCAUAUAAACACUCUUUAGCAUUUGUAUUACAAGCGGGAUCUCGGUAAGCAUCCCGUCCCGCCUGGCCGGGAUCAUAUAAACAGGCCCCUAAUCUCAUCCCAUGAUACUGAAUCACAGUUUGUAAGGCCCCAUUUACAUGAGACCAGGAUGAAACCAACCUGGAAUGAAAAUUGAAAUUGCAUGUCAACAUGUUUACAUGAGACCAGUAUGAAAAUCACAAAAUUUUCAAUUUAUUCCCCUUGCCAGGCAAUUUUCUUUUUUAGAUGACUUUUGUUAGCAUGUGUUGUUCACUUGUUCCAAUGUCAACAUUCAUUCCAGUCUGAAUUCAUACUGGUCUGACUCAGUCGGCUUGGUCCAGCAGGCGGAAUGACUUGAGACCUCAUGUAAACAUCUAUUAUAUAUAAUCUAAUGACCAAAACGAAAUGGUCCCGGUUAAUUGACUUCGUUCCAGUCUCAUGUGAACUGGACCUAAUAAAAUCCUUCAAAAGUUGGCUAAAUUUUUCCAAAACUUCAGUCAAUAUAGUUUUGUAGUACACCAAUCCCAAGAUCUGUCACUAAAUUAUGGGUUGAUUGCCUGAAUAGAUAUAAUUCCCAAAUCAUGAUUUUUGAAGUUAAUUUGAUAGAUAUUUUUAAUUGCAUGGAUUAUUGGGUCAUAUUUUUCUGCUAUUUAGCCUUAAUAUUGUAGACUUUUUUCAGAAAAGGAAGUGCAAACAAGCGCAUACAAUAGCAAUUCUUCUUCAACUAAUGGGCAACAAUUUCUAAAUAGCAAGGAAGCUGAAUGACUGUAUGGGUAUGGACUAUGGAUAGCUCUUUCAUGGGCUCUGCUCAGUUUGUAUGUUGUAACUUAUGUCGAACCAUUGCAAGUGAAUUUAACAAAGCCAGCGAACAAAUUGACAAAAAUAUACACGAUUUAGUUGCACAUUUCAGCUUGGAGUUUGGUACUAUUUCAACUGUCAAUUCGACCUCGAACUUUGAAAGGUUCAAAACCUAUCUGUCUCAUGUUUGCUCACUCUAUAAUUUCGUAUACGCAAAGGUUUUCAUCAUAACUUAAUAACAAAUUAUAAUUUAGGUUUUGGAAAUCAUUGGGUUUUUAUCAGGA
Non-coding RNA from Paramuricea clavata, 2244 nucleotides. The record is from the annotation of a GenBank genome assembly. Lineage: Eukaryota; Metazoa; Cnidaria; Anthozoa; Malacalcyonacea; Plexauridae.